This 1359-nucleotide ribosomal RNA is filed under the name Triticum aestivum (bread wheat). RNAcentral's name for it is "partial small subunit ribosomal RNA". The record is from RNAcentral. Lineage: Eukaryota; Viridiplantae; Streptophyta; Magnoliopsida; Poales; Poaceae.
AUGCUGUUCCUCCCUCCUCAAUCGCAGGCCGCGGCCGCCGCGUGCACGACGCUCUGCUGCCUGUGCGGCGUGCCGAUGCCGCCCAACGCGGCCAACACCUGCGCGCCCUGCCUCCGUGCGCGCGUCGACGUCACGGAGGGCGCGCCGCGCCACGCCGCCGUGGUGCACUGCCCGUCGUGCUCCUCUUACCUGGAGCCCCCGCGGCGCUGGACGCGCGCCGCGCCGGAGUCGGCCGAGCUCUUGCAGCUCCUCCUCCGCCGCGUCCAGCGCCCGAUCCAGCGCCUCGGCGUCACCCUCACCGCCGCCGACUUCGUCUUCACCGAGCCGCACUCCAAGCGCAUCAUGCUCCGCCUCCGCCUCCGCCGCGAGGUCCUCCCCGGCCGCGGCGUCGCGCUGGAGCGGGACCACGCCGUGGAGUUCACCGUCCACGACCGCCUCUGCGACCCCUGCGCCCGGGCCCGCGCCGACCCGGACCAGGACCAGUGGUGCGCCGUCGUGCAGCUGCGGCAGCGCGCGUCGCACCGCCGCACGCUGCUCCACCUCGAGCAGCGGCUGGCCGCCCUCGGCGCGGCCGGUUCGGCGACCCGCGUCGACGUAACCGGUGCCGGCGGUAUCGACUUCUUCUUCGCGUCCAGGUCACACGCUGCCGGCCUUGUCGCCCUCAUCGCCUCCCUCGCGCCGUCACGCGUGGCGGACGCCGCGAGGCAGCUCGUGUCGCACGACACCAAGAGCAACACGUACCGCCACCGGCACGCCUUCUCCGUGGAGCUCUGCCCGGUGUGCCGCGAUGACCUCGUUUUCCUUCCGAGGGAGGCGGUCACCGACACGCUGGCCCUCCUCGACGCCUCCACCCACCGCGUUGUCAACCUCGGCAUCAAGGACUACGACCGGCACAGGUUCGAGCCCUCGCUCACUAGCCGCCAGCUCGUGGAGUACGUCGUGCUGGAUAUCGACCCAUCGCCGGCCACCGGCGACGCCACGGCCGCCAGGUUCGGGUACCGGACUACGUACGUGCAGGUGGCCCGCGCAUCGGAGCUGGGCAGGACCGACGCCAUCGUCACCGUGAGGACGCACCUCGGGCACCUCCAGCGCCCCGGCGACCGUGCGCUUGGCUACGACCUCCGUGGCGCCAACGCCAACGACCUGGAUGGGCAGAGCCACUGCUCGCCGGACGCGGUGCUCGUCAAGAAGAUCUACGAGAAGGGCGGCGACGGCGACAGGAUUCAGGAGGACGGCGGCAGGAGCAACGACCAUGGCGUCGCCUGCAUCGACGAGAUCACAAUGGGGAUCGGAGGCAUUGAUCUGGACCCGUGCGACGAGGUGGAGCUUGAUGAAUUGCUUGAGGACCUCAGAAUCUGA